This is a long non-coding RNA of Equus quagga, 343 nucleotides long. RefSeq lists it as uncharacterized. Lineage: Eukaryota; Metazoa; Chordata; Mammalia; Perissodactyla; Equidae. The record is from RefSeq and is a predicted model, not a curated record. The transcript is spliced from 2 exons.
CGGUUCCCGGGUGGGAGCGGCCCGACGGCUGCUGUGUCCGCGAGUCGGCCUCGCCGCGGGGCCGGCUGCUGUUUCCUAACCCUGGGGCUUCGGAGGCUGCCGUCGGGACACGGUGCGACCCUCGCAGGGGAGGCACGCUGCGGCCGGCGCGGGCCCGGGGCCCCGGAGCGCGGAGCCGCCAGGCGCAUCCCAGCGGCGAGGAACAGCCAUGUGAGGGAACAGCAAGGUGGCCGUCUACAGGCCAGAAAGAGACCUCUCACCAGAAACUGAACUUGCCGGCACCGUGACCAUGGACUUCCAGCCUCCAGAACUGUGAGAAAAUAAAUGGCUGUAGUUUACGCCA